RNAcentral lists this ribosomal RNA (615 nucleotides) under Crypthecodinium cohnii. Its description in RNAcentral is "bacterial SSU rRNA". It matches the Rfam family "Eukaryotic small subunit ribosomal RNA", at positions 1355 to 1821 of the family's 1831-position model. Lineage: Eukaryota; Dinophyceae; Gonyaulacales; Crypthecodiniaceae. The record is from RNAcentral.
GUAGUCAUAUGCUUGUCUCAAAGAUUAAGCCAUGCAUGUUUGAGUCUAUGCCUUUACACGGUUAAGUUGCGAAUGGCUCAUUAUAACAGUAAUGAUCUAUUUGAUGAUUAUCGUUACAUGGAUAACUACAGUAAUUCUGGAGCCAAUACAUGUUUCAACGCCCUACUAAAUAGCCAUACGUGGCCUAGGCUACGUGGGUAAGCUUCUUAGAGGGACUUUGUAUGUUCAAUGCAAGGAAGUCAGAGGCAAUAAUAGGUCUGUGAUGCCCUUAGAUGUUCUGGGCUGCACGCGCGCUACACUGAUGCAUUCAAUGAGUGUAUUUCCUUGCCUGGAAGGGUUGGGUAAUCUCUUUAAAUUGCAUCGUGAUGGGGAUAGAUUCUUGUAAUUAUUAGUCUUCAACGAGGAAGUCCUAGUAAAUAUGAGUCAAUAUCUUGUAUUGAUUACGUGCUUGUCUUUUGUAAAUACCGCCCGUCGCUCCUACCGAUUGUGUGCUUCGGUGAAUAAUUCGGACCGUUCUUCAUAAGAGUCUCUUUCUGAGGAGUGGAAAGUUUGGUGAACCAUAGCAUAUAGAGGAAGGAGAAGUCGUAACAAGGUUUCCGUAGGUGAACCUGCGGA